AGUUCUUUUUUUAGAUCUGCGAAGUAGAUCUUCAGGUCGUGCCAGCCAUCGUGAUACAACGCGAUGGUCGAGUUCCGGCACUGAUAGUCGAAGCACAGUGGUACCACCAAGUCCAGUGAACCUUUCAGUUCGACAUCUAGGUAUAGAGACUGACCAACAUGACUGCCGGCGC
This is a long non-coding RNA of Cotesia glomerata, 172 nucleotides long. RefSeq lists it as uncharacterized. The record is from RefSeq and is a predicted model, not a curated record. Lineage: Eukaryota; Metazoa; Arthropoda; Insecta; Hymenoptera; Braconidae. The transcript is spliced from 2 exons.